CAGCAGUAGCCACGGUAAUACGGAGGGUGCAAGCGUUAAUCGGAAUUACUGGGCGUAAAGCGCACGCAGGCGGUCUGACAAGUCAGAUGUGAAAUCCCCGGGCUCAACCUGGGAAUGGCAGUGGAUACUGGCAAGCUAGAGUGUGUCAGAGGAUGGUGGAAUUCCCGGUGUAGCGGUGAAAUGCGUAGAGAUCGGGAGGAACAUCAGUGGCGAAGGCGGCCAUCUGGGACAACACUGACGCUGAGGCACGAAAGCGUGGGGAGCAAACAGGAUUAGAUACCCCCGUAGUCCCUGUCUCUUAUAC
Molecule: ribosomal RNA, 304 nt
Filed under: uncultured bacterium
Lineage: Bacteria
Description: partial 16S ribosomal RNA
Rfam family: Bacterial small subunit ribosomal RNA
Source: RNAcentral